AGACCCGAAACCCGGUGAUCUAGCCAUGGGCAGGUUGAAGGUUGGGUAACACUAACUGGAGGACCGAACCGACUAAUGUUGAAAAAUUAGCGGAUGACCUGUGGCUGGGGGUGAAAGGCCAAUCAAACCGGGAGAUAGCUGGUUCUCCCCGAAAGCUAUUUAGGUAGCGCCUCGUGAAUUCAUCUCCGGGGGUAGAGCACUGUUUCGGCUAGGGGGCCAUCCCGGCUUACCAACCCGAUGCAAACUGCGAAUACCGGAGAAUGUUAUCACGGGAGACACACGGCGGGUGCUAACGUCCGUCGUGAAGAGGGAAACAACCCAGACCGCCAGCUAAGGUCCCAAAGUCAUGGUUAAGUGGGAAACGAUGUGGGAAGGCCCAGACAGCCAGGAUGUUGGCUUAGAAGCAGCCAUCAUUUAAAGAAAGCGUAAUAGCUCACUGGUCGAGUCGGCCUGCGCGGAAGAUGUAACGGGGCUAAACCAUGCACCGAAGCUGCGGCAGCGACACUGUGUGUUGUUGGGUAGGGGAGCGUUCUGUAAGCCUGUGAAGGUGGCCUGUGA
Molecule: ribosomal RNA, 558 nt
Filed under: Salmonella enterica
Lineage: Bacteria; Pseudomonadati; Pseudomonadota; Gammaproteobacteria; Enterobacterales; Enterobacteriaceae
Description: partial 23S ribosomal RNA
Rfam family: Bacterial large subunit ribosomal RNA
Source: RNAcentral